RNAcentral lists this long non-coding RNA (7129 nucleotides) under Zea mays. RNAcentral describes it as "long non-coding RNA (ZMAY_LNC002304)". The record is from RNAcentral. Lineage: Eukaryota; Viridiplantae; Streptophyta; Magnoliopsida; Poales; Poaceae.
AAAAACAUGAUUUAACAAUGUUUCUGGAGUAUAAUACAUGAAUAGGUACUUUCGGACUUGGAUCAGAACCACAGUGUGAAGAAACACAAAGAAUACGAAGGUUGGCGCAGAGCCGAAGCUAUGCGCAGGGGAGCUUCGGCAUGACAGCAGAAAAGGAAACCGACUUAAAAGGGAAAAGGCUAUUUAGACCUCGAUGGAUUACUAUAGAGUCAUUAGCAAAUGUAAAGGGCAUGGGUGUAGUUUUACAUGGGUUGCGUCUCGUGCCUAUAAAUAGAUGAACAGUGCUCCUGUACUGUUCACGCUGACUUGGCAUUUGCUUUUACGUCACGCUUGUACUCUUACCUUCUUUCGAGCCGAAGGUACAUUUGUAACUUUUUAUCAUUUCUAUUUUUCCAUAAUAAUAAAAUAGAAAUGAAUUGAUAAUAAUACAUAAUUUCCCAUGUUAUCUUUUAUAUCUCAUAUGUUUCUCUCUUCAUUAUUAAAUGUUACGCUAGUGAAGGUAUGUCCUUCAUAACCUUCGUCCGAAAAGCAUUAUAUCCCAAGAGAAAUAAUGCUUCGAAGGACGAAGGACUUUAACAUUUAAUAUUUUUUGUGUUGCCUUGUUCUUAACUCAUAGCAUUUGAGAACAAGUCUCCAGUAUUGGCGCCCACCUCCGGUGAAUCCUUUUCGACCACCUUCGGCAAGCAUUGACCUUCGUCAUGCCACCGAAGAAAGCUUCAGCGAUAGGGGCUGCCGCUCUGCAGCCGCUGGACCCAAAUCAGGAGACCCUUUCUCUUCGAGAGGCCCGAAGCCAGAAGAGGAAAUCCACCAGUCCAACACCCCAAGAGGACGAGUUGGACCAAGAAAUCAGAAAUAUGGAGAUGCUUCAUCAGCAAGUGCAAAAGAAGAUGGAGAAGAUGGCUCGACUAGCUGACCUACAAAGGCAGAUUAACGAAGCCACUAAAGAAGUACGUCACCUUGCUCAAGACAAGCAAGACCGAAGGCCCCAGCACAGGGAGCUUCAUCAAGAGGGCUUGUUCAACGACGAUGGAUGGUAUGAUGAUUUUAAUCAUGAUACCUUUACUUUUGAUGAUGCUUCUCCCCUGGCAGCAGAACUGUAGGCCAUCCCGUGGCCCCCAUCAUAUAAGCCACCUCAGCUUCCAAUGUAUGAUGGGCAUUCAGACCCGAAGCAGUUUUUGAUGAGUUAUGAAGCAACCAUAUCUUCAUACGGAGGCAAUGCAGCUGUCAUGGCCAAAUCUUUCGUCAUGGCAGUUAAGAAUGUGGCCCAAACAUGGUAUUCUUCUCUUCGGCCAGGAACUAUCACUUCAUGGCAGAAGCUCAAAGACAUGCUGGUGACAAGCUUCUAGGGCUUCCAGACGAAGCCAGUCACAGCUCAGGCUCUGUUUCAAUGCAUGCAAGAUCACGAGGAGUAUCUCUAGGCAUACGUCCGAAGGUUCUUGCGUCUGAGAGCACAAGCACCUACAAUGCCCAAUGAAAUUGUCAUUGAGGCCAUGAUCAAGGGGCUUCGUCCAGGACCUACUGCCUAGUAUCUUGCUAGAAAGCCUCCAUAGACUUUGGAGAAGCUGCUUCAAAAGAUGGAUGGAUACAUCCGCGCUGAUAAUGACUUUCGUCAAAGAAGGGAGGAAGCCUACAGGUUCUCUGAAAUGACCAGGGGCUUUGGAGGGAGAAUCCAUCCAAGGCACGUCAGAUCAAUCCAUUCCACCCAGAAUGACGACAGAGGAAGUCAGCAACAGAGGCCACAAUAUUCCUCGCAAGCUUCGGGGCAGCAACAAAGCUAUCUUCGGCCGCCAGCUCCAAGGGGCAGAGGCGCCAAGGGCUUUGGAGGAAGGUUUGGGGAUCAACAUAGGAAAAUUUAUUGCUUAUUCUAUGGUGACGACAAGGGCCAUACUACAAGGAUGUGCCAUGUCACCAUUCAGAAACAGAAGGAAAUAGCAGAAGCUGCAGCUCAGCAGAACGAGCCGAAGCAGGUCAUGCAUAAUGCUUCAUAUCACUCACCCUACAUACCAGAGUAUGUGGGUAACCAUCCUGCAGCGUCUGUUGCUUCGGCUAGUCAGCCACAUGCAUCCUGGCCACAGCCUCCACCUCCGCCACCACUACAACCUGCAUAUUCACGCGGCCAACAGGUAGAAGGGAGUGAUUAGACCCAUCAGCAGAGAUACUUCAGGGAGGAGUCCGAAGCUCGCACAGUCAACAGUACUGUGCCAGAGUCGAAGCAUAUCUACUAAGAGAUAUCCUACCCCUGAAUCAGUUUUUACAUUCAUUGUCAUUUUCUUUCUUACUAAGGAACAAUUAUUGAAAAACCUAGUUUUCUUGUCGUUUUCAAUUCCUUGUAAUAACUUCGUUUUUACCAUAGUGAAAAUAUAUCUUCUCCAUAGACUUACGGAGUCCAAAAAGUCGCCGAAGCACAAAAAUUCGUUCUUAAGUCACAAGUAUCUCUGAAGCGUUCUACGGAACGCAGCGUAAGUUUGACGAAGUCGUUCUACGGAACGCAGCGUAAGUUUGCCGAAGCUACAAAAAGUCGUUCCUAAGGGAGCACAGUGUAAGUUUUCUGCUCAAAAGUCGUUCCAAAGGGAAUGCAGAGUCAAAUACCGUCGAAAUAUAAGGCGAAGCGCGAAAAGUCAACGCGAAUACCGUCGAAAUAGAAGGCGAAGAAGUUCAAAAGACGUUCCUAAGGGAAUGCAGAACUUACAGCAAAAAGUCAGCACUGAUACACCGAAAAAUAAACGGUGAAGCCGAAAAAUAAACGACAAAGAGAUUGUGUAUUCUAAAAUGGGGAUGUGAGUGUGUGUCUUCGGCACAAAGUAUCAUUUUCGCAUAGCAUAACAUCAUCACAUCAUUUCACAUAACAUAACAUCAUACAUCAUAUUGCAUCAAUGGCACAAGAAGGGGAUAUAAUGUUGACCUUCGGAGAAUGCUUCGAAAAAGUGAAAUUGUGCUAAGGCACAAAAUGAGUUUUGAAGAGAUAUAGCUUUAUCAGCUCUGAAGUGGAGGAAAAAGUCUGUUAUUGACGAAGUAUCAGUGUUAUGGUGACGCUUGGAGCAUUUUUUAUAAAACACUCUGAUAUCAAGGAAGAAAGUCUAUUACUGACGAAGCAUUAAUGUUUCUGCGAUGAUUGGAGGAUUUUUCACGAAGCAUAAAAACUCUUCUUUACGAAGCAUGAAAAGAAGGGAAAGUGUUUUUUCGCCGAAGGCUCAAAAACGAUAUGUACAAUAAAAAUUUCAUGUAUCACAAAGAAAUGGAUUACAAAGCCAUUUACAAAUUACAUUAAGAUCUCAUGAGUACCAAAUAUUACAAGCAUAGCCCAGCAAAUUUUACAUUAAUAUCCUGGCAAUAUUUUUACAAUAUCUAUUCUUGUUUCAAAACUUUGUCUGCAGCUUCGGUCAGUAGUUGAGUAACGACUUCGUCCAUAAUGGUUUCAGCCAUGCUAAUAAUUUUUGAUGAUUCUUUUGCCUCUACUUCGGCCAGUGGCUCGAAGGGCUCUAGGGGAGGAGAUAGUUCAGCUGCGGUAGAAAACGUAAAUUAUUUCGAAGUCGCAAAAGUAAACAUCAAAAGUAAAAAUUGUUAAGUAAUACCUAUUCGUAUCUCAAGCUCCACAGCCUUUUCAGCUGUUUUUGUCGCUUCUCUAGUGUCGUGAGUAUCUUUUUCACUUUUCUUUAUUAUUUCGUGAGCCAUCCCUCGACCGCCAUUCUCCCAAAUGUCAGUGAAAAAUUUUCCGCCUAUUAAGCUUGCCUCGGCCGAGGGAUCCUUCGUAUCAUCAAUGGAGAAAGCAGCUUCGGCUUGGGCCAAAGUUUUAACAUGUUCGCACCCUGCUUUCUCCAAAAUAGUUGCAACUCCCCUCACGCCAGAGAAGGCGCAGACAUCCCCACGGCCACUCAAAACUUCCUCAAAAGCUUCGGCUUCACUGCUGAUCCAUUCAAUUGGGCCCUCAGGAUCGCCUCUUAUGAAGUUGUCCUCGCUGGAAUAUGCGCCAACGUUGGCGAAGCUAGUUUUUAUUUUCUUCACGCAGUCCAUAGAUUUUUCAAAGCAUCUUUCCUUGGAUGUGCGAAGUUCUUCAACGUCCUUCUCUAAAUGAUUUGGCCAUUGUUCGCUAAUUCCUCGUUUAGCUUCUGCAACUGCGCACUUCUCUUUAGCUUCGGCCAGUUGCUUCCAAAGGUCUUCAAUCUCAAUUUUUUGGGCUUCAGAUUGGGUCUUAAAGUUAGCGUCAUCCUUCUUUACUUUAUCCACCAAUGUAAGCAGAAUUUUAUCUUUUUCCAAAGCUUCGUUCCUCAGCUUAAUAACCUCUGUUCGAAGGUUGUUGAAAGCAAUAGUGUAGCUCUCGUCUUCGGCGUUCUUUUGCGCUCUCAAGGCGUUGCUAAGUAUUAAACCCUAUAUGAAAAGAAUUAGUAUAAGAGCAAAAGAAUAAUUCAAAAAUUAUAAACUUCCAAAUAUACAAUUUUCGUACCUUCAGACUGUUAUAUGCGAGGCUAUCUGCAAGAUCGUCCUUCGUCAUAGCGCAGAGGCCAGCUUCAAGCUUCGGGAACCCCAUACUUCUAGCCAUCUCCCGGCAGACAGAUAAUUCUUUGUUGUCUGGGAGGCAGUAUAAGAAGUCAUCUUCGUUUGUGCCAUUGAACACUAAGGCCCCUUUUGGAUACUUCAGUUCUCGGGCAUAGUGUUUAGCUUCAAAAAUCUCUUCUUCAGAUAAUCUUUUUCCCGAAGCGUGUCGUACAAUAUAAUCAAGUACUUCGGAAGAUGCUUCGGGAGUAGAAGUGACAGUUUUUUCAGGCAGAAUUUGUUUUGCAGCUUCUUUUUCCGUUUCCUUUUCUCCGGUUUCCAAGGAUUUCUCCUUGGCGGGCUCUGAAGGCCCAGCUUCGGUCUCGACCUGGCUCUUUGUAGCUUCGGCUUCGGUUAGUUUUGUCUCAGUCUGCGUUUUUGAAGCUUCAGCAGUUUUCCCUGGAGUAGAGCUUGAAGUCUUUAUCGUCUCCAGCACAUCUAGUACGUUGACCAUCCUUUUUCUCUUGGGGGUCGCUAUAAGAUCUUUUUGUGCCUUCGGCACUGUCACUUCUGCCGAAGGGCUUCUAACUUCUAAUAUCUUUGUUCUUUCGACCUCUAUCUCUUCAAUAUUAUCGGCCUUCGGCUCAGCUAAUUUGGCCGAUGAUGCCUUCGGCAUUGUAGCCGGCUCUUCAAUCUUCUACGUAAGCGCAGGUUCUUUCGCUUCAGUAGCCAAAGAGGUCUCACCGCCAAAUUCGGGCACUGUGGUCGAUUCAAUAUAGCGCGGUCGGUGAGUAAGAACCUUCACCUUUCUCCUCUUCGGCGCGGGCUCACUCGGAGUAGCUGAAGUAACAUCCUUCCCAGAAGUUGCACUCUUUCUCUUGUGCCCCCUUGGCAGGUAGUGGUAGUCAGGAUACAUAAAUCCAAUAGCAUCAAAAACUCUGUUUAGCCUCUUCUUUUUCCGGCUCCCAAAGGUCGCAGAUAAUGCAUUAUCUUUCGCUUUGGAGUACGGCCCAAGCAGUUCAUCACUUGUAGCUUCGAUACAUUUCAGCCAGUCAUCAUUUGGCUCAUCAAAUUUAUCUCCAUAUCUAAAGGUGUAUUUCAGUCGAACUAGCUCUCCUUUGCCAGUCUUAGUGACAGUCUCCUUCGGCAUUUCCCACUUCUCUACAAGUGGCCAUACUCUGAAGGCUAUAUGCUCCUGGAUUAGACCCCUUGUCCCGAUGAAAGCGCAAACUGUGCCGAAGGCCCUUCGGUAUCCUUCGGCUGCCUCAUCAAUCUCUACCUUCGGUUUUCGGAGGCCGAAACGCUGACAGAUGGGGCGCAUGAUGAUCUCUUUAAUAUCUUCUCGUGCCUUUAAAUCAUUUUUCACAUAGAACCAUUCUUUCAUCCAGUCCCCGGGCCAUCUCUUAUGAAAAGUUGGCACUGGGCAGCUUGAGCCAGAACGAGCAACGAAGCUAUAGCAACCAAAAUUGUUAUGAUACUGCUCUUUACCCUAGGGCUUCGUCUCAUAUAAAAGUUCGUGCAUACUGCAGAAACUUUUUGCACUUGGCUCCAAGCCCUGACUCCUCACGGCCUAGACGAAGAUUCCCAUUCUUAUGAUUGCUUCGGGAGUAAUUUGGUGAAGGAAAAUCUGGUAUAUCUUUAAAACUUCAACUACAAAUCUGCUUAAGGGGAACCGAAGCCCAGCUUUGAAAAAGUUUCGGAAGAUCACGACUUCAUUCUCUUCGGGAACAGGAGCAGUUAUGUCUCCGUUGUCAGCCCUCACAAUAGACAUAUCUCGAAAAUAUCUUCCCCUCAUAUUAUCGAGAUGACUCUGUUUAAUAGUUGAUUUUCUGAAAACUGCAUGACUUGGUCGCCAGGGUUGAUCUUCGGAGUCUUCGCCGCCACUUUCCACAUCAUAACUGUCGCUGUCACCAGUGUCUUCAGAUAAGCCUUCUAAAAUCUCCCUAGUAAUUUUUUCUGUAUUUGUCUUUGCUAUUGAUUCAAUAAAGCCAGCAGUCUUCUCCUCAGAAAGCUUCUCCUCCUCGCUCAGCUUCGUCUCAGCAACAACUUUCUUAUCUUGAGACAUCUCUUCGAAAAUGGUGAAAAUGUGCUCUUAAAGCCGAAGCUUAGAAAAUCUAAAAAACCAAGCAAGCAUUGGUAGGCAAGAGCUAAAAAUUGAGCAAGCAGAGCAGACGGCAAAAAGCGUGCCAAAUGAGCUCGUGGUGUGCUCCUAUUUAUACAUCUAGUGCAUUGCAAAAUGGAGGGCCCCGCUUGUCAUUGAUUGUUGCUAUUAUAGCAAAGGGAAGGUGUUUUUUCGGACCUUCGGCUUAGGGCCUUCGUCCAUAUUGCAAUUUGAAUUCGUUAUUCUAACAAAUUAACCUUGCGAGGGGCUACUAUUGGGGGCCUUCAUCUUCCGAAGGUCCUCAAAAACAUGAUUUAACAAUGUUUCUGGAGUAUAAUACAUGAAUAGGUACUUUCGGACUUGGAUCAGAACCACAGUGUGAAGAAGCACAAAGAAUACGAAGGUUGGCGCAGAGCCGAAGCUAUGCGCAGGGGAGCUUCGGCAUGACAGCAGAAAAGGAAACCGACUUAAAAGGGAAAAGGCUAUUUAGACCUCGAUGGAUUACUAUAGAGUCAUUAGCAAAUGUAAAGGGCAUGGGUGUAAUUUUACAUGGGCUGC